GCCGAAGUGGCGGAAAUGGAAGACGCGCUACAUUCAGGGUGUAGUGGGCGAAAGCCCGUAGGGGUUCGACUCCCCUCUUCGGCA
RNAcentral lists this transfer RNA (84 nucleotides) under Pseudomonadota bacterium. Its description in RNAcentral is "tRNA-Leu". It matches the Rfam family "tRNA". From Rfam's summary of the family: Transfer RNA (tRNA) molecules are approximately 80 nucleotides in length. Their secondary structure includes four short double-helical elements and three loops (D, anti-codon, and T loops). Further hydrogen bonds mediate the characteristic L-shaped molecular structure. tRNAs have two regions of fundamental functional importance: the anti-codon, which is responsible for specific mRNA codon recognition, and the 3' end, to which the tRNAs corresponding amino acid is attached (by aminoacyl-tRNA synthetases). tRNAs cope with the degeneracy of the genetic code in two manners: having more than one tRNA (with a specific anti-codon) for a particular amino acid; and 'wobble' base-pairing, i.e. permitting non-standard base-pairing at the 3rd anti-codon position. Lineage: Bacteria; Pseudomonadati; Pseudomonadota. The record is from RNAcentral. RNAcentral also lists the same sequence under 1 other name.